RNAcentral lists this ribosomal RNA (427 nucleotides) under uncultured bacterium. RNAcentral's name for it is "bacterial SSU rRNA". It matches the Rfam family "Bacterial small subunit ribosomal RNA", at positions 355 to 775 of the family's 1533-position model. The record is from RNAcentral.
UCGAGAAUUUUUCACAAUGGGCGCAAGCCUGAUGGAGCGACGCCGCGUGGGGGAUGAAUGGCUUCGGCCCGUAAACCCCUGUCAUUUGCGAUCAACCGUUAUUAUUUAAAAGAUGAUAACCUGAUAGUAGCGAAAGAGGAAGGGACGGCUAACUCUGUGCCAGCAGCCGCGGUAAUACAGAGGUCCCAAGCGUUGUUCGGAUUUACUGGGCGUAAAGGGUGCGUAGGUGGCGGUGUAAGUCGGAUGUGAAAUCUCCGAGCUCAACUCGGAAACUGCAUUGGAAACUACAGUGCUCGAGGGUUGGAGGGGGGACUGGAAUACUUGGUGUAGCAGUGAAAUGCGUAGAUAUCAAGUGGAACACCAGUGGCGAAGGCGAGUCCCUGGACAACUCCUGACACUGAAGCACGAAAGCUAGGGGAGCAAACAG